Molecule: long non-coding RNA, 901 nt
Organism: Agrilus planipennis (emerald ash borer)
Lineage: Eukaryota; Metazoa; Arthropoda; Insecta; Coleoptera; Buprestidae
Exons: 6
Source: RefSeq, a predicted model, not a curated record
CAGUGCUUCAUGCAGUAUCUUUCGCAAACUCGAGCAGGCUUGAACGUACUGUUCGUUACCAUUUUUAGGCUAUCGUGGUUAGUAGCAGGACGUGUUGCUCGCGUUUUUUAGAAUUAAUAAACCGAGUUCAUUUUUGCGCAGAAUCAGCUUUAUUUCAUUGCAAAUAAUCAGCUUGUAAUAGUUAUAUUCAUACAGAUUUGUUUUUGAAGUGUAUUAUAAUAUUAAAUUAUAAAUACUCUGGAUGCCAUGUGCUAUUGGACAUUGGAUCAAAUCAACCAUUUUUCACUUUAGGAUGUAGCAGUACUUAAAGGAAGCAUAAAGGUUAACUGACAAAUAAGAGAGAAUGAAGACAUUGAAGUUAAUUUUCAUCCUACUGGAAAAGCAUAAUUCGUCUACUAUAUGGUACUGUGUUUGCUGUUGACUUUUCACCUUGGAUGAUUUUAUAGUUAUUUAAGAAACACUGAGGAUACCAUGUGCUGUGGGAGAUUUGGCUAAAUCAACCCUAUUUCACUCAAGGAUGUAGCAUUACCUGAAAGAGGCACAAAGGUGCCAUUCCUCGUCACCUGUUUCCAAUCAAUAACUUAGGAACACUCUAGAUGUCAUGUGAUAUAGAUUUAAUUAUAUAAGUCCUUCUUCACUCCAAGAUGUGUUAAUACCUGAAAACCACUUUUUCGAUCGGAAAUUGGCGCUGUGUGUUGCAGUUACUGGAGGAAGGAUUUAUGAUGCUGAACAACAUCAAGUAAAGGAACACUCUAGAUGCUAGGUGAUACAGAGAUUUAAUUAUAUAAGUCCUUCUUCACUCCAAGAUGUGUUAAUACCUGAAAACCACUUUUUCGAUCGGAAAUUGACGCAGUGUGUUGCAGUUACUGGAGGAAGCAUUUAUGAUGCUGAACAACAUCAA